Molecule: ribosomal RNA, 316 nt
Filed under: Gymnotus sp.
Lineage: Eukaryota; Metazoa; Chordata; Actinopteri; Gymnotiformes; Gymnotidae
Description: partial 12S ribosomal RNA
Rfam family: Bacterial small subunit ribosomal RNA
Source: RNAcentral
UUCGCCAGAGUACUACAAGCGAAAGCUUAAAACUCAAAGGACUUGGCGGUGUUUCAGACCCACCUAGAGGAGCCUGUUCUAGAACCGAUAAUACUCGUUUAACCUCACCACUUCUUGUUUCCCCAGCCUAUAUACCGCCGUCGUCAGCUUACCCUGUGAAGGUCAAAAAGUAAGCAAAAUGGGUAUAGCCCAAAACGUCAGGCCGAGGUGUAGCGCACGAAGUGGAAGAAAUGGGCUACAUUUUCUAAUAAUAGAAUACUACGCACGACACACUGAAACGUGUAUCUUAAAGGUGGAUUUAGUAGUAAAAAGCAAA